ACCGUAGCCAUCUGGCUCAAGGUAAAUACCAGGUCCGCUCUCUGGGCUGCAGCCGAGAGGUGAAUGCCGGUGACGACCCUU
Molecule: small nuclear RNA, 81 nt
Filed under: Perkinsus marinus
Lineage: Eukaryota; Perkinsozoa; Perkinsida; Perkinsidae
Description: spliced leader RNA2(a)
Source: RNAcentral